AGGAAACGACAAAGGGAAGAAGAGAUUGAAGCUCAAGAAAAAGCGAAACGAGAAAGAGAGUGGCAGAAAAACUUUGAGGAAAGUCGAGAUGGUCGUGUGGACAGCUGGCGAAACUUCCAAGCAAAUACAAAGGGGAAGAAAGAGAAGAAAAAUCGGACCUUCCUGAGACCACCGAAAGUAAAAAUGGAGCAGCGUGAGUGACCACCUAGGGUCACAGCCACAGAACCUUCCCCCAGCUGUCUCCCUUCCUGCUUUGAAGGACUCAUUCUUUCCUCCCACUUCCACCCCAACAUAGAGUAGUAUUUGCUUUUUAGCCCAUUUUGUUUUCAAUACAAUUUAAUAUUGAUCAGAGUAAUUCUUUUGUACAUUGAAAUGAGGGGCUUGGUUAACAAAAGACCUUCCCCUACCCCCGCCCCUAGAACAACCAGAUUGGAAGGUGCCACCAUUGGUGCUGCCUUCUCUUCCCACAGCCAGUAACUUAAUGUUUUGUACUUCACUGAAUUGUGAUGGUUAGAAACUUCGUGUAUAGUUUGUGGAAAUCAUCCAAUUAAACAUAUUGCUUAAAAUGGUGUUGCCGUGACUUCAGAGACAAGCCUGAGCCACCUUAGGGAGCCCCUUCAAUUCAGUUGCUUGCUUCUGGGUGUGCCAUUCUUGAAAGCCCCAGAUAAGGCAGGGAAGGCAGUGUGGGCACCCAGAGCAGUCACCUGAUGCCCUGGUACCCUGUGGUGUUUGGCAUGUGCCCUCUCAUCUGACUGACCAGUCAGCGUGGCAUGAGGCCCCAAGCAACCUAAACCUGUCCACUUUCCAAAGAACUAGCCAUCCUCCAUUCAAUACCGUGGUAUCCUAGUCUGUCUGCAUUCAUUAGUGGUAAUGUUCUUUAUGUAUAAUAAAUUUUUAUACCCAAA
Molecule: long non-coding RNA, 905 nt
Organism: Propithecus coquereli (Coquerel's sifaka)
Lineage: Eukaryota; Metazoa; Chordata; Mammalia; Primates; Indriidae
Exons: 2
Source: RefSeq, a predicted model, not a curated record